RNAcentral lists this ribosomal RNA (497 nucleotides) under uncultured bacterium. RNAcentral describes it as "partial 16S ribosomal RNA". It matches the Rfam family "Bacterial small subunit ribosomal RNA", at positions 28 to 507 of the family's 1533-position model. The record is from RNAcentral.
GAUGAACGCUGGCGGCGUGCCUAAUACAUGCAAGUCGAGCGAACGGACGAGAAGCUUGCUUCUUUGAUGUUAGCGGAGGACGGGAGAGUAACACGUGGAACCCCUACCUAUCAGUCUGGGAUAACUUCGGGAAACCGGAGCUAAUCCCGGAUAAUCUUCUGAACCGUAUGGUUCAAAAGUGAAAGACGGUCUUGCUGUCACUUAUCGAUGGAUCCGAGCUGCUUUAGAUAGUUGGUAAGGUAAAGGGCUUUCAAGGCAACUAGGCAUAGCCGACCUGAGAGGGUGAUCGGCCACACUGGAACGGAGACACGGACCAGACUCCUACGAGAGGCAGCAGUAGGGAAUCGGCCGCAAUGGGCGAAAGCCUGACGGAGCAACGCCGAGUGAGUUAUGAAGGUCUUCGGAUCGUAAAGCUCUGUUAUUAGGGAAGAACAGAUGUGUAAGUAACUGUGCACAGCUUGACGGUACUUAAUCAGAAAGCCACGGCUAACUACGUG